GUAGGUGGCAAGCGUUGUCCGGAAUUAUUGGGCGUAAAGCGCGCGCAGGCGGUUCUUUAAGUCUGAUGUGAAAGCCCACGGCUCAACCGUGGAGGGUCAUUGGAAACUGGAGAACUUGAGUACAGAAGAGGAAAGCGGAAUUCCACGUGUAGCGGUGAAAUGCGUAGAGAUGUGGAGGAACACCAGUGGCGAAGGCGGCUUUCUGGUCUGUAACUGACGCUGAGGCGCGAAAGCGUGGGGAGCAAACAGGAUUAGAUACCCUGGUAGUCCACGCCGUAAACGACGAGUGCUAAGUGUUAGGGGGGUUUCCGCCCCCUUAGUGCUGCAGCUAACGCAUUAAGCACUCCGCCUGGGGAUACGGCCGCAAGGCUG
RNAcentral lists this ribosomal RNA (372 nucleotides) under uncultured organism. RNAcentral's name for it is "partial 16S ribosomal RNA". It matches the Rfam family "Bacterial small subunit ribosomal RNA", at positions 527 to 896 of the family's 1533-position model. The record is from RNAcentral.